RNAcentral lists this unclassified non-coding RNA (265 nucleotides) under Archaeorhizomyces sp. Its description in RNAcentral is "partial contains 5.8S ribosomal RNA, internal transcribed spacer 2, and large subunit ribosomal RNA". The stretch from base 1 to 69 matches the Rfam family "5.8S ribosomal RNA", at positions 84 to 154 of the family's 154-position model. Lineage: Eukaryota; Fungi; Ascomycota; Archaeorhizomycetes; Archaeorhizomycetales; Archaeorhizomycetaceae. The record is from RNAcentral.
GUGAAUCAUCGAAUCUUUGAACGCACAUUGCGCCUCCCAUAACCGGGGGGCAUGCCUGUCUGAGCGUCAUUUAAACCUAUGGGCCCGAUUGGGUUCCGUGUUGGGCCUCGCCCCUCUCCAAGUGGCGUCGCCUCAAAGGAAUCGGCUUCAUGGAGCGGAUGGGAUCCUUCUGGACUGGCCGUUCCAUGGCUGGAGUUCGACUCUGAAUUGACCUCAGAUCAGGUAGGGACACCGCCUGAACUUAAGCAUAUCAAUAAGCGGAGGA